UACGUAGGUGGCAAGCGUUGUCCGGAUUUACUGGGUGUAAAGGGCGUGUAGCCGGGUCGGCAAGUCAGAUGUGAAAUCCACGGGCUUAACUCGUGAACUGCAUUUGAAACUGUUGAUCUUGAGUAUCGGAGAGGCAAUCGGAAUUCCUAGUGUAGCGGUGAAAUGCGUAGAUAUUAGGAGGAACACCAGUGGCGAAGGCGGAUUGCUGGACGACAACUGACGGUGAGGCGCGAAAGCGUGGGGAGCAAACAGG
RNAcentral lists this ribosomal RNA (253 nucleotides) under uncultured bacterium. RNAcentral's name for it is "partial 16S ribosomal RNA". It matches the Rfam family "Bacterial small subunit ribosomal RNA", at positions 524 to 776 of the family's 1533-position model. The record is from RNAcentral.